This 730-nucleotide ribosomal RNA is filed under the name uncultured Lactobacillus sp. Its description in RNAcentral is "bacterial SSU rRNA". It matches the Rfam family "Bacterial small subunit ribosomal RNA", at positions 771 to 1501 of the family's 1533-position model. Lineage: Bacteria; Bacillati; Bacillota; Bacilli; Lactobacillales; Lactobacillaceae. The record is from RNAcentral.
AACCGGAUUAGAUACCCUGGUAGUCCAUGCCGUAAACGAUGAGUGCUAAGUGUUGGAGGGUUUCCGCCCUUCAGUGCUGCAGCUAACGCAUUAAGCACUCCGCCUGGGGAGUACGACCGCAAGGUUGAAACUCAAAGGAAUUGACGGGGGCCCGCACAAGCGGUGGAGCAUGUGAUUUAAUUCGAUGCUACGCGAAGAACCUUACCAGGUCUUGACAUCUUCUGCUAACCUAAGAGAUUAGGCGUUCCCUUCGGGGACGGAAUGACAGGUGGUGCAUGGUUGUCGUCAGCUCGUGUCGUGAGAUGUUGGGUUAAGUCCCGCAACGAGCGCAGCCCUUAUUGUCAGUUGCCAGCAUUUAGUUGGGCACUCUGGCGAGACUGCCGGUGACAAACCGGAGGAAGGUGGGGAUGACGUCAAAUCAUCAUGCCCCUUAUGACCUGGGCUACACACGUGCUACAAUGGACGGUACAACGAGUCGCGAAACCGCGAGGUCAAGCUAAUCUCUUAAAGCCGUUCUCAGUUCGGAUUGCAGGCUGCAACUCGCCUGCAUGAAGUUGGAAUCGCUAGUAAUCGUGGAUCAGCAUGCCACGGUGAAUACGUUCCCGGGCCUUGUACACACCGCCCGUCACACCAUGAGAGUUUGUAACACCCAAAGCCGGUGAGGUAACCUUCGGGAACCAGCCGUCUAAGGUGGGACAGAUGAUUAGGGUGAAGUCGUAACAAGGUAACC